AGAUAUCUAAAGACUUGAAUCAGUGGUACCUGCUGACGAAUGAGACCCUUCUGAAGUCUAACCUGGCUGCCUUCUGGAACACCUCAGAGAAGUUCGUCAAUAUCUCUAAUGCAUCUUUAACCAUCAGUAAAAAUCUGAAGCAGCUUGAGAAACUCCUGGAAACCUUCCCCCUACCCACGCCCACAUCCGAGGGAGAAGAGUACAUCCCAGCAGGAGAUUUUAAUGAGUUCUCAGGGAAGUUGAGUAUCUUCCUGAAAACCCUGGAUGGUGUCCUGGAGCGCUCACUGAACUGUUCACGAACUCUCAAAACCUCACAGAGAGACGCUUAGUCCAGGCCUGUGCAUGCCCAAGGCUCAGAGCGGGGCUUAGGUCCUGGGUCUUCAACACUCCUGAUAUCCCAGUUGAUGCUCCACUCUGUCACACAUCUCAGCUGUUGAACGUCUGGCUUCUGAGCUGGCCUGCUCGAGCUUGGUCACAGGGUUCCUGAUGAUUGCGUCUAUUUGUAUAGCAGUUUAUUUAUUUAUUAUCCACCCUAUUGUGGAGUUAUUUAUUUUAAUAAUGGAGCCCUCUCAGGAGACUUUGAGCAGAGCUCAGAGGGGAUGUGAAGCCGUUUUCAUUUGUAUCUCAAAUUUCAAAAGGAUUUCUCCUCCUCGGGGAAAAAUAAAUGCUUUAU
Diceros bicornis minor is the source of this 673-nucleotide long non-coding RNA. RefSeq lists it as uncharacterized. The transcript has 4 exons. The record is from RefSeq and is a predicted model, not a curated record. NCBI's taxonomy places the organism in Eukaryota, Metazoa, Chordata, Mammalia, Perissodactyla, Rhinocerotidae.